UAAGGUGGUUAUUGCGUCGGGGCUCACCUCUUCCCAUUCCGAACAGAGAAGUUAAGUCCGACUGCGCAGAUGGUACUGCAGUUAUGUGGGAGAGUAUGUCGCUGCCUUUU
This 110-nucleotide ribosomal RNA is filed under the name Flavobacteriaceae bacterium. Lineage: Bacteria; Pseudomonadati; Bacteroidota; Flavobacteriia; Flavobacteriales; Flavobacteriaceae. The record is from RNAcentral.